This 429-nucleotide ribosomal RNA is filed under the name Actinomycetes bacterium. RNAcentral's name for it is "Actinobacteria bacterium partial 16S ribosomal RNA". It matches the Rfam family "Bacterial small subunit ribosomal RNA", at positions 355 to 776 of the family's 1533-position model. The record is from RNAcentral. Lineage: Bacteria; Bacillati; Actinomycetota; Actinomycetes.
UAGGGAAUCUUCCGCAAUGGGCGAAAGCCUGACGGAGCAACGCCGCGUGAGUGAUGAAGGUCUUCGGAUCGUAAAACUCUGUUAUUAGGGAAGAACAAAUGUGUAAGUAACUAUGCACGUCUUGACGGUACCUAAUCAGAAAGCCACGGCUAACUACGUGCCAGCAGCCGCGGUAAUACGUAGGUGGCAAGCGUUAUCCGGAAUUAAUGGGCGUAAAGCGCGCGUAGGCGGUUUUUUAAGUCUGAUGUGAAAGCCCACGGCUCAACCGUGGAGGGUCAUUGGAAACUGGAAAACUUGAGUGCAGAAGAGGAAAGUGGAAUUCCAUGUGUAGCGGUGAAAUGCGCAGAGAUAUGGAGGAACACCAGUGGCGAAGGCGACUUUCUGGUCUGUAACUGACGCUGAUGUGCGAAAGCGUGGGGAUCAAACAGG